GACACCAUCGUGACGAAGAUUCAAAUCAAUCCACGCAGCGACGGCGCGUGGGCGCGCACGAAAGUACGUUUUUUUGCGAUUUAGACCGUAUACGCAGACAAAUCUCGUACUUUUGGCACGGGAAAUUUCAUUUAUACUGGAGCGUGACCUUAACUCGCAUAGCGGGAAUUGACAUGCAUGCAUAGGGCCUACAGUACGUGUAGAACCCUUCCAGCCAAAUAUCACGUAUCCGGGCACUACUUUCGUACGUACGGAAGUACUUUCGUACAGUACGGAAGUACUUCCGGAAGUACUAGCUAGGCCUACUGUAUUUACGUUGUACCUUCGUACGAAGGUACGAAAGUACGGAAGUAGUACUUCCGGGAGUGCUGUACGGAAUUACUUCCGGGAGUACUGUACGGAAUUACUUCCGGAAGAAGUACUUCCGGAAGUGAAGAUACGGAAGUACUUCCGGAAGUACAACUAACGUUGUACGAAAGUACGAAAGUACCUUCGAAGGUACUUUCGUACUUUCGUACUUCCGUACUUCGGAAGUACUUUCGUACGAAAGUACGAAAGUAUCAUUACUUCCGGAAGUACAACUACUUCCGGUACAACGUAGUACGGAACGAAGUACUUUCGUACUUUCGUACGAAAGUACUUCCGUAUUAUUGUACAUACACGUACAAUAAAUACUGUGCUUCCCCGAUAGGUACUGUCUACCUUCGUACGAAAGUACGAAAGUACCUUCGAAGGUAAAUCUUAUUGUACAGUGUACGUUGUAGUCUAAAUAGUACGUACGGAAGUACGUGUACUUUCGUACUUUCGUAUUAUCUUAUCUAUUAUGGUUAGGUGGGCGUAUUGCUGUGGUUUUAUUGUCAUAGGACGCGAUGCUGAGUGACUCUCUACAGUAGUCCUCUCUUGGUUGGGAACUGCCAGUCAUUCUGUUCAGGUAAUACUCAAGUGCCUUCGGCUUCGCCGUCGGUAGUUGGGAGAAGGGGCACGGCAGGGUAUUUAGUCUGAUAAGUACGGAAGUUCGUGUAUUGGUUUAAAAAUGGUUUUCAUCUGAAGAGUUCAUCUUCAGGUCCCGUGUGCAUACGAAACUCCAAACGCAUUUGAUAGGCUGAAAUUUUCGUGCCUAGGUCCGGGAAAAACCCCAAAUAUUGUAGCCUCGCUCUCUUGAAUCGAUGUUACCUUCGUACCUCCGUGCAUUUAUGGAACUAAUUUCGGAAUAAUGUUCGACAGGUGAGUUAACUCUCAUGCAUGAUGGCCUGUCCUAUUCUUGAACUCCACUAUGACGAGAACGCGCUCAGACGACAGCAGCGCCGUGUUAGGCAAUCACACAGUAAUAUCACGUAGAUAUUUCAGCUGACCAGCCACCGGGCGAGCUAGGAGACGAGAACGAUGUGCGCCGUCGCACUGUGCAAACUUGAUCUGUGUCGUUCAAAACAUUUCUGACAAUCCGCGAGGGGAGGGGCGCGACCGGGCACGCGCUCGAAUGGGAAACUAGAAUGGGCGCUGCGCGGGCUGCGCGAGCGACAU
RNAcentral lists this long non-coding RNA (1521 nucleotides) under Micromonas pusilla. RNAcentral's name for it is "long non-coding RNA (MPUS_LNC000030)". The record is from RNAcentral. Lineage: Eukaryota; Viridiplantae; Chlorophyta; Mamiellophyceae; Mamiellales; Mamiellaceae.